This 254-nucleotide ribosomal RNA is filed under the name uncultured bacterium. RNAcentral's name for it is "partial 16S ribosomal RNA". It matches the Rfam family "Bacterial small subunit ribosomal RNA", at positions 524 to 776 of the family's 1533-position model. The record is from RNAcentral.
GACGAACCGUGCGAACGUUAUUCGGAAUCACUGGGCUUAAAGCGCGUGUAGGCGGAUGAGCACGUCUGUCGCUGAAAUCCCCCGGCUCAACCGGGGAACGGGCGCGGAUACGGCUCGUCUCGAGGGGCGUAGGGGGACCUGGAACUUCCGGUGGAGCGGUGAAAUGCGUUGAUAUCGGAAGGAACGCCGGUGGCGAAAGCGCACGACUGGAUCUCUUCUGACGCUGAGGCGCGAAAGCCAGGGGAGCAAACGGG